CCUACGGGAGGCAGCAGUGAGGAAUAUUGGUCAAUGGUCGGGAGACUGAACCAGCCAAGCCGCGUGAGGGAUGAAGGUACAGAGUAUCGUAAACCUCUUUUGUCAGGGAACAAAGGCGGGGACGUGUCCCCGGAUGAGUGUACCUGAAGAAAAAGCAUCGGCUAACUCCGUGCCAGCAGCCGCGGUAAUACGGAGGAUGCGAGCGUUAUCCGGAUUUAUUGGGUUUAAAGGGUGCGCAGGCGGUCUGUUAAGUCAGCGGUAAAAGCCCGGGGCGAAACCCCGGCCCGCCGUUGAAACUGGCAGUCUCGAGUUGGAGAGAAGUAUGCGGAAUGCGCGGUGUAGCGGUGAAAUGCAUAGAUAGCGCGCAGAACUCCGAUUGCGAAGGCAGCAUGCCGGCUCCACACUGACGCUGAGGCACGAAAGCGUGGGUAUCGAACAGGAUUAGAUACCCGGGUAGUC
RNAcentral lists this ribosomal RNA (459 nucleotides) under uncultured bacterium. RNAcentral describes it as "partial 16S ribosomal RNA". It matches the Rfam family "Bacterial small subunit ribosomal RNA", at positions 338 to 795 of the family's 1533-position model. The record is from RNAcentral.